This 866-nucleotide long non-coding RNA is filed under the name Monodelphis domestica (gray short-tailed opossum). Its description in RNAcentral is "lncRNA (ENSMODG00000041969.1)". The record is from RNAcentral. Lineage: Eukaryota; Metazoa; Chordata; Mammalia; Didelphimorphia; Didelphidae.
ACACUGAAGGACCAAAAGGCAUGGAAUAUGAUAUUCUGGAAAGCAAGGGAACAAGGUCUAUAACCAAGAAUCAACUACCCAGCAAAACUGACUAUAUUCUUACAGGGGAAAGAAGGGUCAUUCAACAAAAUAGAAGAAUUCCAAGAAUUUGUAAAGAAAAGACCAGACCUGAACAGAUAAUUUGAUGUCCAAGCACAGAACUCAAGAGAAUCAUCAAAAGAUAAUUUAAAAAGAGAGAAAAAAGAAAAGCAAAACAAAACAACAACAAAAAAACACCUUUUUUUUAAAAGACACUGAAUAAGGGACAAUGAUAUGUAUCCCUAUAAGAAAAGAGGUCAUUGAUAACUCUUAUCACCUGGGCAGCUAGAAGAAUUACACUUAGAGGGAACAGUGACAAACUGUAUAGGAUGAAAAGAUGAAGAAAUUGACUUGCCUAGGAUACCAGGAUAACAGAAGAGGUAUGGAUCAGGACUCGGAAGUCUUUCAACCUUUAAGUCCCACUGUUUUCUCUCCUAUCUACUGACCCAGAUCCCAAACUGCAAAAUCAAGAGUAGCUAACAAAAGCUCAACGUGUUGGAAUGGACAUGAAUUGUCCUGACCUCAGUAUCACUGACAUCAAUGAGGUGCUCACCCAGUUGCUUAGAUGCUCCUGCUUUUUAGGACUUGUCCUUUCUGAACUCCCCUUCAGAGCAGUGAAAUAUGCUUAUCCUGUUCUCAUCUUUUUCCCUUCUCCCAUUCCCCAAGUCUACAACUUACCCUAGUAGGCUGUAAGCUUUAGAAGGCAGAGACUUCAUGUUUUCCAUAUAUGCCUUAAACAUAAUGGAUUGGAUUUUCAAUAAAUGUUUAUUGAACAUGUUAUUGAUUCA